UGCUAUACAUGCAAGUCGAGCGGACAGAUGGGAGCUUGCUCCCUGAUGUUAGCGGCGGACGGGUGAGUAACACGUGGGUAACCUGCCUGUAAGACUGGGAUAACUCCGGGAAACCGGGGCUAAUACCGGAUGCUUGUUUGAACCGCAUGGUUCAGACAUAAAAGGUGGCUUCGGCUACCACUUACAGAUGGACCCGCGGCGCAUUAGCUAGUUGGUGAGGUAACGGCUCACCAAGGCAACGAUGCGUAGCCGACCUGAGAGGGUGAUCGGCCACACUGGGACUGAGACACGGCCCAGACUCCUACGGGAGGCAGCAGUAGGGAAUCUUCCGCAAUGGACGAAAGUCUGACGGAGCAACGCCGCGUGAGUGAUGAAGGUUUUCGGAUCGUAAAGCUCUGUUGUUAGGGAAGAACAAGUGCCGUUCAAAUAGGGCGGCACCUUGACGGUACCUAACCAGAAAGCCACGGCUAACUACGUGCCAGCAGCCGCGGUAAUACGUAGGUGGCAAGCGUUGUCCGGAAUUAUUGGGCGUAAAGGGCUCGCAGGCGGUUUCUUAAGUCUGAUGUGAAAGCCCCCGGCUCAACCGGGGAGGGUCAUUGGAAACUGGGGAACUUGAGUGCAGAAGAGGAGAGUGGAAUUCCACGUGUAGCGGUGAAAUGCGUAG
Molecule: ribosomal RNA, 664 nt
Filed under: Bacillus atrophaeus
Lineage: Bacteria; Bacillati; Bacillota; Bacilli; Caryophanales; Bacillaceae
Description: bacterial SSU rRNA
Rfam family: Bacterial small subunit ribosomal RNA
Source: RNAcentral